This 555-nucleotide ribosomal RNA is filed under the name Triticum aestivum (bread wheat). RNAcentral describes it as "partial small subunit ribosomal RNA". The record is from RNAcentral. Lineage: Eukaryota; Viridiplantae; Streptophyta; Magnoliopsida; Poales; Poaceae.
AUGGCCGCAUCACCAUGGAUUUCAUCGGUAUCGUCCUUUGGCGCCGAGGCGGUGCUCAAGGAGGGAGCGAGGUACGUGGUGGUGCCGGGGCAGCUGCCGACGGGGUGCAUUCCCAUCGUCCUGACGCUGUACGCGAGCCCCAACAAGCGGCACUACGACCGCCGGACCGGGUGCCUCAGAAAAUACAACGCGCUCGCGCGCUACCACAACGGAGUGCUGUUCGAGGCCCUGUAUCGGCUCCGGAUCAAGUACCCCGCGGCGAAGAUCGUCUACGCCGACUACUACGCGCCGCUCAUCGACUUCCUCAAGAAACCAAAGAAGUUCGGGUUCAGUGCUUCGUCGAAGCUCCGGGUUUGCUGUGGCGCCGGCGGGCCGUACAACUACAACAUGACGGCGGCGUGCGGGUUUCCCGGCGCGACCGCGUGCGCUAACCCCGCCGCGCACGUCAACUGGGACGGCAUCCACCUGACGGAGCCGGCGUACGAGCGCAUCGCCGCCGGUUGGCUCUGGGGCCCGUACGGGCACCCGCCUAUUCUCAAGGCCAUGCGUCAGUAA